This 1053-nucleotide ribosomal RNA is filed under the name Rothia sp. 178aa. Its description in RNAcentral is "bacterial SSU rRNA". It matches the Rfam family "Bacterial small subunit ribosomal RNA", at positions 198 to 1260 of the family's 1533-position model. The record is from RNAcentral. Lineage: Bacteria; Bacillati; Actinomycetota; Actinomycetes; Micrococcales; Micrococcaceae.
GGUGGAAAGGGAUUUUGUACUGGUUUUAGAUGGGCUCACGGCCUAUCAGCUUGUUGGUGAGGUAACGGCUCACCAAGGCGACGACGGGUAGCCGGCCUGAGAGGGUGACCGGCCACACUGGGACUGAGACACGGCCCAGACUCCUACGGGAGGCAGCAGUGGGGAAUAUUGCACAAUGGGCGCAAGCCUGAUGCAGCGACGCCGCGUGAGGGAUGACGGCCUUCGGGUUGUAAACCUCUUUCAGCAGGGGAGAAGCGAAAGUGACGGUACCUGCAGAAGAAGCGCCGGCUAACUACGUGCCAGCAGCCGCGGUAAUACGUAGGGCGCGAGCGUUGUCCGGAAUUAUUGGGCGUAAAGAGCUUGUAGGCGGUUUGUCGCGUCUGCUGUGAAAGCCCGGGGCUUAACCCCGGGUUUGCAGUGGGUACGGGCAGACUAGAGUGCAGUAGGGGAGACUGGAAUUCCUGGUGUAGCGGUGAAAUGCGCAGAUAUCAGGAGGAACACCAAUGGCGAAGGCAGGUCUCUGGGCUGUAACUGACGCUGAGAAGCGAAAGCAUGGGGAGCAAACAGGAUUAGAUACCCUGGUAGUCCAUGCCGUAAACGUUGGGCACUAGGUGUGGGGAACAUUCCACGUUUUCCGCGCCGUAGCUAACGCAUUAAGUGCCCCGCCUGGGGAGUACGGCCGCAAGGCUAAAACUCAAAGAAAUUGACGGGGGCCCGCACAAGCGGCGGAGCAUGCGGAUUAAUUCGAUGCAACGCGAAGAACCUUACCAAGGCUUGACAUAUACUAGACCGCCUCAGAGAUGGGGUUUCCCUUCGGGGCUGGUAUACAGGUGGUGCAUGGUUGUCGUCAGCUCGUGUCGUGAGAUGUUGGGUUAAGUCCCGCAACGAGCGCAACCCUCGUUCUAUGUUGCCAGCACGUAAUGGUGGGGACUCAUAGGAGACUGCCGGGGUUAACUCGGAGGAAGGUGGGGAUGACGUCAAAUCAUCAUGCCCCUUAUGUCUUGGGCUUCACGCAUGCUACAAUGGCCGGUACAAAGGGUUGCGAUACUGUGA